UAUUAGUAAUGUUGGGAAUCUCUAAGAUGAUACUUGAAUCUCUCCCAUGCAUGAUAGAGAUUUUCAUUUGGCUUCUAGAUGAAACUUAAAAUCUCACUCCUCAAACU
Molecule: small nucleolar RNA, 107 nt
Filed under: Capsicum annuum
Lineage: Eukaryota; Viridiplantae; Streptophyta; Magnoliopsida; Solanales; Solanaceae
Description: Plant small nucleolar RNA R71
Rfam family: Plant small nucleolar RNA R71
About the family: R71 is a member of the C/D box family of snoRNAs containing the C (UGAUGA) and D (CUGA) box motifs. Multiple nearly identical copies of this snoRNA have been identified in Arabidopsis, and it is thought to function as a 2'-O-ribose methylation guide for 18S ribosomal RNA.
Source: Rfam by way of RNAcentral